AUUGAACGCUAGCGGGAUGCUUUACACAUGCAAGUCGAACGAGUGGCGGACGGGUGAGUUAUAUAUCUGCCCGUGCCCAGUAGCGGGGGAUAACUACUCGAAAGUGUGGCUACUUCCGCCUUCUUUUGGCGCGGCCGAUUUCGGAUUAGCUAGUUGGUGGGGUAAAGGCUCACCAAGGCCACGAUCCGUACCUGGUUUGAGAGGAGGACCAGCCAAACUGGGACUGAGACACGGCCCAGACUCCUACGGGAGGCAGCAGUGGGGAAUUUGGGACAAUGGGGGAAAGCCUGAUCCAGCCAUCCCGCGUGUAUGAGAAGGCCUUCGGGUUGUAAAGUACUUUUGGCAGAGAAGCGGUAUCUGCAGAAUAAGCACCGGCUAACUACGUGCCAGCAGCCGCGGUAAUUC
Molecule: ribosomal RNA, 405 nt
Filed under: uncultured bacterium
Lineage: Bacteria
Description: partial 16S ribosomal RNA
Rfam family: Bacterial small subunit ribosomal RNA
Source: RNAcentral